UAGUUUGGCGUCUAGUUUGGCGUCUAGUUUGGCUGGAUAUAAGGGAAGAGAAGUGUGAGACUUCCGCUGCCCCGCAGCCGUAAUGGGAACGAAAACCCCGAUUAAUGCCACUGAGCCCGUCUCUCAAUCUUGUGAGAAGACGACUUGGGAAGGCGGGUGAGUAGGUAUGCCCUAAGCCGGAAGACCUGUCCAGUAGGAAAUCACGAG
This 207-nucleotide non-coding RNA is filed under the name Nitrospirota bacterium. Lineage: Bacteria; Pseudomonadati; Nitrospirota. The record is from RNAcentral.